GUGCCAGCCGCCGCGGUAAUACGGAGGGUGCAAACGUUGCUCGGAAUCAUUGGGCGUAAAGCGCACGUAGGUGGCCUGUUAAGUCGGGUGUGAAAGCCCUCGGCUCAACCGAGGAAGUGCAUUCGAAACUAGCAGGCUUGAGUAUGGAAGAGGGUCGUGGAAUUCCCGGUGUAGAGGUGAAAUUCGUAGAUAUCGGGAGGAACACCAGUGGCGAAGGCGGCGACCUGGGCCAAUACUGACACUGAGGUGCGAAAGCGUGGGGAGCAAACAGGAUUAGAUACCCUUGUAGUCC
RNAcentral lists this ribosomal RNA (292 nucleotides) under uncultured bacterium. RNAcentral describes it as "partial 16S ribosomal RNA". It matches the Rfam family "Bacterial small subunit ribosomal RNA", at positions 505 to 796 of the family's 1533-position model. The record is from RNAcentral.